RNAcentral lists this ribosomal RNA (1037 nucleotides) under uncultured bacterium. Its description in RNAcentral is "bacterial SSU rRNA". It matches the Rfam family "Bacterial small subunit ribosomal RNA", at positions 1 to 994 of the family's 1533-position model. The record is from RNAcentral.
UAGAGUUUGAUCCUGGCUCAGGACGAACGCUGGCGGCGUGCCUAAUACAUGCAAGUCGAACGCGUCUCCGUUAAUGAUUUUAGGUGCUUGCACUUGAAAGAUUUAACAUUGAGACGAGUGGCGAACUGGUGAGUAACACGUGGGUAACCUGCCCUUGAAGUAGGGGAUAACACUUGGAAACAGGUGCUAAUACCGUAUAACAACCAAAACCACCUGGUUUUGGUUUAAAAGACGGCUUCGGCUGUCACUUUAGGAUGGACCCGCGGCGUAUUAGCUUGUUGGUAAGGUAACAGCUUACCAAGGCGAUGAUACGUAGCCGACCUGAGAGGGUAAUCGGCCACAUUGGGACUGAGACACGGCCCAAACUCCUACGGGAGGCAGCAGUAGGGAAUCUUCCACAAUGGACGAAAGUCUGAUGGAGCAACGCCGCGUGAGUGAUGAAGGGUUUCGGCUCGUAAAACUCUGUUGUUGGAGAAGAACAGGUGUCAGAGUAACUGUUGACAUCUUGACGGUAUCCAACCAGAAAGCCACGGCUAACUACGUGCCAGCAGCCGCGGUAAUACGUAGGUGGCAAGCGUUGUCCGGAUUUAUUGGGCGUAAAGCGAGCGCAGGCGGUUUUUAGGUCUGAUGUGAAAGCCUUCGGCUUAACCGGAGAAGUGCAUCGGAAACCGGGAGACUUGAGUGCAGAAGAGGACAGUGGAACUCCAUGUGUAGCGGUGAAAUGCGUAGAUAUAUGGAAGAACACCAGUGGCGAAGGCGGCUGUCUGGUCUGUAACUGACGCUGAGGCUCGAAAGCAUGGGUAGCGAACAGGAUUAGAUACCCUGGUAGUCCAUGCCGUAAACGAUGAGUGCUAAGUGUUUGGAAGGGUUUCCGCCCUUCAGUGCUGCAGCUAACGCAUUAAGCACUCCGCCUGGGGGAGUACGACCGCAAGGUUGAACUCCAAAGGGAAUUUGACGGGGGCCCGCACAAGCGGUGGAACCAUGUGGUUUAAUUCGAUGCUACGCGAAGAACCUUACCAGGUCUUGACAUCUUCUGC